This 780-nucleotide ribosomal RNA is filed under the name uncultured Neocallimastigales. Its description in RNAcentral is "partial large subunit ribosomal RNA". It matches the Rfam family "Eukaryotic large subunit ribosomal RNA", at positions 24 to 635 of the family's 3401-position model. The record is from RNAcentral. Lineage: Eukaryota; Fungi; Neocallimastigomycota; Neocallimastigomycetes; Neocallimastigales.
UAUCUCUGUAGAGUCUGCAUAUCAAUAAGCGGAGGAAAAGAAACUAACUAAGGGAUUCCCUCAGUAACGGCGAGUGAAGCGGGAAGAGCUCAAAUUUGAAAUCUUCAAGGUUCUACCUUGACGAAUUGUAGUUUAAAGAAGUGUUUUCUGUUGGAGUUUUGGUAAAAGUUCUUUGGAAUAGGACAUCAUAGAGGGUGAGAAUCCCGUAUUUGACCAUUAUUUCCAGCUUUGUGAUACACUUUCAAAGAGUCGGAUUGUUUGGGAAUGCAGUCCAAAAUGGGUGGUAAAUUUCAUCUAAAGCUAAAUACUGGCGAGAGACCGAUAGCGAACAAGUACCGUGAGGGAAAGAUGAAAAGAACUUUGAAAAGAGAGUUAAACAGUACGUGAAAUUGUCAAAAGGGAAGCGUUUGACACCAGUGUUGUUUUCUCGAAAAUCAAUUAAGAAUGGCAUGAUUCUGUGUUGUAUUGACCUUAUCAGCUUUCUUCACUCUUUUCUGAGUCUUUUUUAAUGCAGCUUUUCGGUUAACAAGUCAACAUCAAUUUCUUUUGUUGUAAAAGAGGUCAUUGGAAGGUGGCUUUCUUUUCGGAGAAAGUGUUUAUAGCCCUUAUGCCUCUACAAUCGGAGAGAUUGAGGUCUGCAGCGUAGAUCCUUCGGGGUUAGAUACAUUUGUGCUAAGUUAUAGCCUUUCAUAGACAACUUGUUGACUAUGAUCAGUCAUGUAGCUUACUCGCUUAUGCUAUUUUACCUACGCUUAGGAUGUUGAAGAUGUAGCACAUCAU